Molecule: ribosomal RNA, 253 nt
Filed under: uncultured bacterium
Lineage: Bacteria
Description: partial 16S ribosomal RNA
Rfam family: Bacterial small subunit ribosomal RNA
Source: RNAcentral
UACGGAGGGGACUAGCGUUGUUCGGAAUUACUGGGCGUAAAGCGCACGUAGGCGGACAUUUAAGUCAGGGGUGAAAUCCCAGAGCUCAACUCUGGAACUGCCUUUGAUACUGGGUGUCUUGAGUAUGGAAGAGGUGAGUGGAAUUCCGAGUGUAGAGGUGAAAUUCGUAGAUAUUCGGAGGAACACCAGUGGCGAAGGCGGCUCACUGGUCCAUUACUGACGCUGAGGUGCGAAAGCGUGGGGAGCAAACAGG